Molecule: ribosomal RNA, 660 nt
Filed under: uncultured organism
Description: bacterial SSU rRNA
Rfam family: Bacterial small subunit ribosomal RNA
Source: RNAcentral
GGGGCACGGGUGAGUAUCGCGUUUGUACAUUACCCUAACUGGGACUUAGCCCGAAGAAAUACGGAUUAAUAUCCCAUAAUAUAUCGAAAAGGCAUCUCUUCAAUAUCAAAGCUCAUGCGGUUAGAGAUGGGCAUGCGUGUCAUUAGCUAGUAGGUGAGGUAACGGCUCACCUAGGCUACGAUGAGUAGGGGGUCUGAGAGGAUGAUCCCCCACACUGGUACUGAGACACGGACCAGACUCCUACGGGAGGCAGCAGUGAGGAAUAUUGGGCAAUGGACGCCACGUCUGAUCCUUUCAUGCCAGAGUGCAGGAUGACGGCCCUAUGGGUUGUAAACUGCUUUUAUACGGGAAGAAUGGUUCCUACGUGUCGGGAUUUGACGGUACCUAAUGAAUAAGGAUCGGCUAACUCCGUGCCAGCAGCCGCGGUAAUACGGAGGAUGCAAGCGUUAUCCGGAUUCAUUGGGUUUACAGGGUGCGCAGGCGGAAUAUUAAGUCAGUGGUGCAAUCCUGCGGCUUAACUGUAGAACUGCCAUUGAUACUGGUAUUCUUGAGUAUACGUGACAGUGGGCGGAAUGUGUAAUGUAGCGGUGAACAUGCUUAGAUAUUACACAGAAUACCGAUUGCGAAGGCAGCUCACUAAACUAUUAUUGACGCUGAUGC